RNAcentral lists this ribosomal RNA (2553 nucleotides) under Flavobacteriales bacterium. Its description in RNAcentral is "partial 23S ribosomal RNA". It matches the Rfam family "Bacterial large subunit ribosomal RNA", at positions 1 to 2567 of the family's 2925-position model. Lineage: Bacteria; Pseudomonadati; Bacteroidota; Flavobacteriia; Flavobacteriales. The record is from RNAcentral.
AAGAAAGUAAGUAAGGGCGCAUGGCGAAUGCCUUGGCUCUCAGAGACGAUGAAGGACGUGAUAAGCUGCGAUAAGCUUCGGGGAGGUGCAAAUAACCUUUUAUCCGGAGAUUUCCGAAUGGGGAAACCCAGUACCAUGAAGUGGUAUUAUCCUGACUUGUCAGGAGGUCAACCCAGGGAACUGAAACAUCUAAGUACCUGGAGGAAUAGAAAACAAUAGUGAUUCCCUAAGUAGCGGCGAGCGAACGGGGACUAGCCCAAAUUUCGGUGGUUUCGGCCAUCGAUUGGUUGUAGGACUGCGUUGUGGACUAUAGAUUCGAAGUAGAAUUUUCUGGAAAGUUAAACCAUAGCAGGUGAUAGUCCUGUAUACGAAUCAAAUUUAUUACCUAGUAGUAUCCUGAGUAGCGCGGGACAUGUGAAAUCUUGUGUGAAUCUGCCAGAACCAUCUGGUAAGGCUAAAUACUCCUGAGAGACCGAUAGUGAACUAGUACCGUGAGGGAAAGGUGAAAAGUACUUCGAACAGAAGAGUGAAAUAGAUCCUGAAACCAUGCGCUUACAAGCGGUAGGAGUCCAGUACAUACUUGUAUGUAUAGGAUGACUGCGUGCCUUUUGCAUAAUGAACCUACGAGUUACUCCUCUCUAGCAAGGUUAAGUCAUUCAUUGACGGAGCCGAAGCGAAAGCAAGUCUGAAUAGGGCGCAUAGUUAGAGGGGGUAGACGCGAAACCCGGUGAUCUACCCAUGACCAGGAUGAAGUUCCAGUAACAUGGAAUGGAGGUCCGAACCAGUGUCCGUUGAAAAGGGCUUGGAUGAGUUGUGGGUAGGGGUGAAAGGCCAAUCAAACUGGGAAAUAUCUCGUACUCCCCGAAAUGUAUUUAGGUACAGCCUCAAGUUUAGUGUCAUAGAGGUAGAGCUACUGAUUGGGCUAGGGGGCUUCACCGCCUACCAAACCCUGACAAACUCCGAAUGCUAUGACAUAUACUUGGGAGUGAGGGCAUGGGUGCUAAGGUCCGUGUCCGAGAGGGUAACAAACCAGAUCAUCAGCUAAGGUCCCCAAAUUUAUACUAAGUUGAUCUAACGUGGUCUGAUUGCAUUGACAGCUAGGAUGUUGGCUUGGAAGCAGCCAUUCAUUUAAAGAGUGCGUAACAGCUCACUAGUCGAGCGAUCGGGCGUGGAUAAUAAUCGGGCAUAAGUAUAAUACCGAAGCUAUGGGAUUACAGAUUUAUCUGUAAUCGGUAGGGGAGCAUUGUAGUCGCACUGAAGGUGUUUCGUAAGAGAUGCUGGAGCAGCUACAAAAGAAAAUGUAGGUAUAAGUAACGAUAAUGCCGGCGAGAAACCGGCACACCUAUAGACUAAGGUUUCCUGAUCAACGCUAAUCGGAUCAGGGUUAGUCGGGUCCUAAGGCGAAUCCGAAUGGAGUAGUCGAUGGACAACAGGUUAAUAUUCCUGUACUAGCAUAUACUGCGAUGGGGUGACGGAGUAGUGAAAGAUCUGCGCACUGACGGAAUAGUGCGUUAAAGAGUGUAGGUAUACGGACAGUAGGUAAAUCCGCUGACCGUGCUGAACUUGAUAGUACCAUGAGCCUUCGGGCAAGUGGAUAUGAUCCUAAUCAUACUUCCUAGAAAAACCUCUAAGCUUCAGGUAUAUGCUACCCGUACCGCAAACCGACACAGGUAGUCAAGUAGAGAAUACUAAGGUGCUCGAGUGAAUCAUAGUUAAGGAACUCGGCAAAAUAGCCUCGUAACUUCGGGAGAAGAGGCCCCCACUUCGGUGGGGCGCAGUGAAUAGACCCAGGCGACUGUUUAUCAAAAACACAGGGCUUUGCCAAAUCGAAAGAUGAUGUAUAAGGCCUGACACCUGCCCGGUGCCGGAAGGUUAAGGAAGUUUGUUAUUCUUCGGAAGAAGCUCACGACUGAAGCCCCGGUAAACGGCGGCCGUAACUAUAACGGUCCUAAGGUAGCGAAAUUCCUUGUCGGGUAAGUUCCGACCUGCACGAAUGGUGUAACGAUCUGGGUACUGUCUCAACUAUGAGCUCGGUGAAAUUGUAGUAUCGGUGAAGAUGCCGAUUACCCGCAACGGGACGGAAAGACCCCGUGAACCUUCACUACAACUUAACAUUGACUCUGGAUAAAUAAUGUGUAGGAUAGGUGGGAGACUACGAAGCUGCGACGCUAGUCGUGGUGGAGUCGUCCUUGAAAUACCACCCUUUAUUUAUUCGCAGUCUAAUCCCUAACGGGAGACAUUGUUUGGUGGGUAGUUUGACUGGGGUGGUCGCCUCCAAAAGAGUAACGGAGGCUUUCAAAGGUACCCUCAGCACGGUUGGUAACCGUGCGCAGAGUGCAAUAGCAUAAGGGUGCUUGACUGUGAGACUGACAAGUCGAGCAGGGUCGAAAGACGGAUAUAGUGAUCCGGUGGUUCCGCAUGGAAGGGCCAUCGCUCAAAGGAUAAAAGGUACUCCGGGGAUAACAGGCUGAUCUCCCCCAAGAGCUCAUAUCGACGGGGAGGUUUGGCACCUCGAUGUCGGCUCGUCACAUCCUGGGGCUGGAGAAGGUCCCA